This 205-nucleotide ribosomal RNA is filed under the name uncultured bacterium. RNAcentral describes it as "partial 16S ribosomal RNA". It matches the Rfam family "Bacterial small subunit ribosomal RNA", at positions 524 to 729 of the family's 1533-position model. The record is from RNAcentral.
UACGUAGGGUGCGAGCGUUAAUCGGAAUACUGGCGUAAGCGUGACGCAGGCGGUGAUGUAAGACAGGUGUGAAAUCCCCGGGCUUAACCUGGGAACUGCAUUUGUGACUGCAUCGCUGGAGUGCGGCAGAGGGGGGAUGGAAUUCCGCGUGUAGCAGUGAAAUGCGUAGAUAUGCGGAGGAACACCGAUGGCGAAGGCAAUCCCC